Molecule: transfer RNA, 72 nt
Filed under: bacterium
Lineage: Bacteria
Also listed under: 3 other names
Description: tRNA-Val
Rfam family: tRNA
About the family: Transfer RNA (tRNA) molecules are approximately 80 nucleotides in length. Their secondary structure includes four short double-helical elements and three loops (D, anti-codon, and T loops).
Source: RNAcentral
GGGUGGUUAGCUCAGCGGUAGAGCGCUUCGUUUACACCGAAGAUGUCGGGGGUUCGAAACCCUCACCGCCCA